RNAcentral lists this ribosomal RNA (1463 nucleotides) under uncultured bacterium. Its description in RNAcentral is "partial 16S ribosomal RNA". It matches the Rfam family "Bacterial small subunit ribosomal RNA". The record is from RNAcentral.
GGCUCAGGACGAACGCUGGCGGCGUGCUUUAUACAUGCAAGUCGAACGAUGAAGUUCCUUCGGGAAUGGAUUAGUGGCGAACGGGUGAGGAACACGUGAGAAACCUGCCUUUCAUUCUGGGAUAACACCGGGAAACCGGUGCUAAUACCGGAUACUCCGUCUUGGCGGCAUCGCCGAGCCGGGAAAAAAUUUUGAUGAAAGAUGGUCUCGCGGCCUAUCAGCUAGUUGGUGAGGUAAUGGCUCACCAAGGCGACGACGGGUAGCCGGCCUGAGAGGGCGACCGGCCACACUGGGACUGAGACACGGCCCAGACUCCUACGGGAGGCAGCAGUGGGGAAUCUUGCGCAAUGGGCGAAAGCCUGACGCAGCAACGCCGCGUGCGGGAAGAAGGCCUUCGGGCUGUAAACCGCUUUCAGCAGGGACGAAACUGACGGUACCUGUAGAAGAAGGAGCGGCCAACUAUGUGCCAGCAGCCGCGGUGACACAUAGGCUCCGAGCGUUGUCCGGAUUCAUUGGGCGUAAAGAGCUCGUAGGCGGUCGAGUAAGUCGGGUGUGAAAACUCUGGGCUCAACCCAGAGACGCCACCCGAUACUGCUCUGACUCGAGUUCGGCAGGGGAGUGGGGAAUUCCUCGUGUAGCGGUGAAAUGCGCAGAUAUGAGGAGGAACACCGGUGGCGAAGGCGCCACUCUGGGCCGAUACUGACGCUGAGGAGCGAAAGCACGGGUAGCAAACAGGAUUAGAUACCCUGGUAGUCCGUGCCGUAAACGGUGGGCACUAGCUGUGGGUCCCUUCCACGGGAUCCGCGACGCAGCAAACGCAUUAAGUGCCCCGCCUGGGGAGUACGAUCGCAAGAUUAAAACUCAAAGGAAUUGACGGGGCCCCGCACAAGCAGCGGAGCAUGCGGCUUAAUUCGACGCAACGCGAAGAACCUUACCAAGGCUUGACAUAUAGCGAAAAGUGGCAGAGAUGUCAUGUCCGCAAGGGCGCUAUACAGGUGGUGCAUGGUUGUCGUCAGCUCGUGUCGUGAGAUGUUGGGUUAAGUCCCGCAACGAGCGCAACCCUCGUUCUGUGUUGCCAGCAUUUAGUUGGGGACUCACAGGAGACUGCCGGGGUUAACUCGGAGGAAGGUGGGGAUGACGUCAAGUCCUCAUGGCCUUUAUAUCCAGGGCGACACACGUGAUACAAUGGACGGUACAGAGGGACGCCAAGAGGCAACUCGGAGCUAAUCUCAAAAAGCCGUUCUCAGUUCGGAUUGGAGUCUGCAACUCGACUCCAUGAAGUUGGAAUCGCUAGUAAUCGCGGAUCAGCACGCCGCGGUGAAUACGUUCCCGGGCCUUGUACACACCGCCCGUCACACCAUGGGAGCUGACUCAACCAGAAGACGGUCAGGCUAACCUUAACAGGAGGCCUCUGGCGAAGGUGGGGUUGGUGACUGGGGUGAAGUCGUAACAAGGUAGCCGUA